UUUAGUUUAUAUAUAUUAAAUCAAAUGACCCAAUGGGUCAAAUUUUAUUAAAAAAGCAAUCCUAUUAUAGAAGGGGUAGCCCAAAGUGCUAAGCCCACAAAGUCAGUCCAAAAGCAACAAAAAUAAUCUAGAAAAUUGAAUUAGGAAAGUAAACACACAUUCGAAAGUGGAAAAGAUUAGGAAAGUACCGCACAAUUCUUCGAUCUGCCAUUGAUAUGGCUUCUCCGUUGAUAUCCUUGUCUUCUCCCACUCCCAUUGAGAAGAUGAAGAAUUUAAAUAGUGCCUUGAUUUCGAUAUUGUGGAUCCCAUUCCACCAGUGCCUCCCAUACUACCAGUGGCACCCAUGUUUUUUACUUGUUUUUUUUGCUAUUUUAGACACAAGGCAAUUAAGUUUGAUUUUGUGAUGGAAAUGAGGUGCAUGGAGUAGGGAUUUAUACAGGCAAAGGAGAAGUAAGAGAGACUAACUCGAGGCAUAACAGGUGUUAACAGACUCUUGAAAUUGGGGAUUUUCGGGUAAGAAUGGCAAAACAUGGCAGCAGAAAGUUAGAUUGCACCAGCAAACUUUGUUAACUUUGUUAAUUGCACAAUUUCAUCCUUCCAUUAUUGGAUUAUUUUCCAUAAGACUGGAAUUGAUUUAGACUUCUAUUUUUUAUCUCUUUUUAUUUUGAGUUUUCAUUUUCGUUCUUAGCUUUUCCAACUCAAUUCAGUCUUAGUUAAUGCGAAUAGCUUGACUUUUGUUUUUGCAUGUGGCUUAAAAUGGAUACAAACUUUAUUGUUGGCUGCAUUAACUUGUUUUGGGCUGCAGGGGUUACUCACAUUUUCUCACUCAGGUUCUGUUGUCAGUUGAAAAUGGCUACUGAAAAUCAAUGGAGUCCAAACAUUCAGUUUAGUUAGAAAAAUGAUCGGAGUGGAAUGCAGAGUUGGAAAUCAAUAGAAUGCAUCUCAGAGUGAAAAAAUGAUCUUUCAGUUACCCAAGAUUUGAUGCUCUAUUUAGACCUUGCCAUCGUUGGUCUUGACACAAUUUAUGAAUGGGCAGGUAAGAAUUGAGUGUUUCAGCUUGUUCGCUUAUAUGAAAGUAUAAGAAAGAGCCAAAAUGUUCAUUAUUUGAAUAAUAGUUUAAAGAACUUAAUGUUAUGGGGGCAUUAACAAUGAGAUGAAUCUAGCUUUCCUGGGUAAUGCAUCUAAACUUAUGUAAAAACUCUAAUGUUAAGUAGUUAUUGUCGUCGAGAUUUUAUACCAUUUCUGAAAGAUGCUAUUGCCCUCUUUUAGAUUAGCCAUUUGUCAUUUCUCUUAUGAGAUACUAUAAUGUCUCAUAUUUUCAUUCUUCCUAGGUUGCUAUUACAUUCUCGAUCUUUGCUUCUUCUGCUGGUUUUAAAGAUUUGCAAUGGAGUAUGAGUAUGGAGUCUUUCGAACUAUAUAAUCGUGACACUGCAUAGUCCUUAUAGAGAUAUUGGCUCUUUUCCAUGAACCUUAUUGCAUUCCCUCGUCAUUAAUUCUAAGAGGUCGUUUAGUUGGGAAAGAGUUACCUGGGACAAUUAAUUUCGAAAUUAGUUAUCCCCCGUGUAUAUGGGAUAACUUAUCCCAUCAGUAUUGUCUUAAUGCUGAAAUAAAUAAUAUCGGUACUAAUUAAUACCUCGCAACAAACAUGAGAUAAAAUAGUCCAUUUUAUUUCGGAAAUAUUUAUCCCUUAUACCUCUCACUAAACGACCCCUAAGUAUCAUAGACAUGAGUUUUUGUUCAAGAUUAGCUGACUGCUUCAGCUGUAUCUUGACGUUCAAAAGAUAUCUUAGAUAUCUGAUUCAUAUCGAUCUGAAACUUGAUUCAUGUUAUUUCGAGAACUAUUUUCUUUGAAAGUAUUUUUUCUUUUCCUUUAUUUUUUGUGUAAUUUAUGGUGAUUCUGGAGCUUCAUAGAGCGGAAUUUACAUGAAUACAGAAGAAGAAUUAUCGUGGACGUGUUAUGUAUCAUAGCAACAUAAAUCUCGAGGUCUGCAUUGGGUUCAUUCAAGCGAAGGGUCUUAUACUCAAAUGUUGGUCAUGAUUGUAUCCUAUUUGUAUUGUUAAAUCAGGCAACCGGCCCAGCCUCUGCUAUCAAAACUUUAAAGAGGUUGUUUGGUGUAAGGUAUAGGGGAUAAGUAGUCAUGAGAUAAAAUAACCAUAUGGAUGGUGGGAUAAGUUAUCCCAGGUAAUCCUGGGAUAACUAAUCUCGGGAUUAGUUAUCCCGGGAUAACUAUUUUCCAACCAAACGACCCCUAAAGGCUAAAGAUUAUUUUUCCUUAACAAACUUUAUUUAGAUAUUGUAGGUUGGAGUAAAUCAUCAAUUUGACGUAAUAAUGAUCUGCCCAAGGUACACUACUUGCUAGUGGAUACUAAUUAAAUCGUAUGCGCUACAUUAUAUCAUAAAAAUUUGUGCUUACAGUGGGAAGAUUCCUUAAAUGAGAAGUAUCCUGACAUUGUGUAUCAAGAACAUUGUAAGGCAUGUGAAAGUGAGCAGAUGAUUGUAUUCACACGCUCAAAUUUGGAUAUUAUUUUUUAGCCACGUGGGUGUUUUGGUAAGCUUACAAUUUUUAAAUGUUUUGGUAAGCUUACAAUUUUUAUUUAAGCUUCAAUUAUAAAUGUGCUUACCUGUGAAAUUUCUAUUUAAGAGUUACAGUACA
Molecule: long non-coding RNA, 2654 nt
Organism: Capsicum annuum
Lineage: Eukaryota; Viridiplantae; Streptophyta; Magnoliopsida; Solanales; Solanaceae
Exons: 2
Source: RefSeq, a predicted model, not a curated record